GUUAGACGGGACCGCACAAGCGGUGGAUGAUGUGGAUUAAUUCGAUGCAACGACGAAAACCUUACCUACCUUGACAUGUCCGGAAUCCCGAAGAGAUUUGGGAGUGCUCGCAAGAGAGCCGGAACACAGGUGCUGCAUGGCUGUCGUCAGCUCGUGUCGUGAGAUGUUGGGUUAAGUCCCGCAACGAGCGCAACCCUUGUCAUUAGUUGCCAUCAUUUGGUUGGGCACUCUAAUGAGACUGCCGGUGACAAACCGGAGGAAGGUGGGGAUGACGUCAAGUCCUCAUGGCCCUUAUGGGUAGGGCUUCACACGUCAUACAAUGGUCGGUACAGAGGGUUGCCAACCCGCGAGGGGGAGCUAAUCCCACAAAGCCGAUCGUAGUCCGGAUCGCAGUCUGCAACUCGACUGCGUGAAGUCGGAAUCGCUAGUAAUCGUGGAUCAGCAUGUCACGGUGAAUACGUUCCCGGGUCUU
RNAcentral lists this ribosomal RNA (472 nucleotides) under uncultured Rhodocyclaceae bacterium. Its description in RNAcentral is "bacterial SSU rRNA". It matches the Rfam family "Bacterial small subunit ribosomal RNA", at positions 917 to 1381 of the family's 1533-position model. Lineage: Bacteria; Pseudomonadati; Pseudomonadota; Betaproteobacteria; Rhodocyclales; Rhodocyclaceae. The record is from RNAcentral.